Molecule: ribosomal RNA, 733 nt
Filed under: bacterium enrichment culture clone SC-1_12
Lineage: Bacteria
Description: bacterial SSU rRNA
Rfam family: Bacterial small subunit ribosomal RNA
Source: RNAcentral
GGCGGCAUGCUUUACACAUGCAAGUCGAACGGCAGCGCGGGGCAACCUGGCGGCGAGUGGCGAACGGGUCAGUAAUACAUCGGAACGUACCCAGAAGUGGGGGAUAACGUAGCGAAAGUUACGCUAAUACCGCAUACGUUCUACGGAAGAAAGUGGGGGAUCUUCGGACCUCAUGCUUUUGGAGCGGCCGAUGUCUGAUUAGCUNNNNNNUGAGGUAAAGGCUCACCAAGGCGACGAUCAGUAGCUGGUCUGAGAGGACGACCAGCCACACUGGGACUGAGACACGGCCCAGACUCCUACGGGAGGCAGCAGUGGGGAAUUUUGGACAAUGGGCGCAAGCCUGAUCCAGCAAUGCCGCGUGAGUGAAGAAGGNNUUCGGGUUGUAAAGCUCUUUUGUCAGGGAAGAAACGGCUGGGGCUAAUAUCCUCGGCUAAUGACGGUACCUGAAGAAUAAGCACCGGCUAACUACGUGCCAGCAGCCGCGGUAAUACGUAGGGUGCAAGCGUUAAUCGGAAUUACUGGGCGUAAAGCGUGCGCAGGCGGUUUUGUAAGUCUGACGUGAAAUCCCCGGGCUCAACCUGGGAAUUGCGUUGGAGACUGCAAGGCUGGAGUCUGGCAGAGGGGGGUAGAAUUCCACGUGUAGCAGUGAAAUGCGUAGAGAUGUGGAGGAACACCGAUGGCGAACGCAGCCCCCUGGGUCAAGACUGACGCUCAUGCACGAGAGCGUGGGGAG